Vigna unguiculata (cowpea) is the source of this 151-nucleotide long non-coding RNA. NCBI's taxonomy places the organism in Eukaryota, Viridiplantae, Streptophyta, Magnoliopsida, Fabales, Fabaceae. The record is from RefSeq and is a predicted model, not a curated record.
UGAUUAUUUAGUUGAUAUAUUGGGAUUACUGGUCGGAGUGGGUACUGAAAGAGAAUUGCAAGUUGAUGGAAAGACAACAAAAUUAAAUGUCAUUGCAAUAGAAGCUGAUGGGUUUCGAAUAGAAUGUACUUUGUUUGGUAUUUAUGUGGAU